UGCAGUCGAGCGGACAGAAGGGAGCUUGCUCCCGGAUGUUAGCGGCGGACGGGUGAGUAACACGUGGGUAACCUGCCUGUAAGACUGGGAUAACUCCGGGAAACCGGAGCUAAUACCGGAUAGUUCCUUGAACCGCAUGGUUCAAGGAUGAAAGACGGUUUCGGCUGUCACUUACAGAUGGACCCGCGGCGCAUUAGCUAGUUGGUGAGGUAACGGCUCACCAAGGCGACGAUGCGUAGCCGACCUGAGAGGGUGAUCGGCCACACUGGGACUGAGACACGGCCCAGACUCCUACGGGAGGCAGCAGUAGGGAAUCUUCCGCAAUGGACGAAAGUCUGACGGAGCAACGCCGCGUGAGUGAUGAAGGUUUUCGGAUCGUAAAGCUCUGUUGUUAGGGAAGAACAAGUGCAAGAGUAACUGCUUGCACCUUGACGGUACCUAACCAGAAAGCCACGGCUAACUACGUGCCAGCAGCCGCGGUAAUACGUAGGUGGCAAGCGUUGUCCGGAAUUAUUGGGCGUAAAGGGCUCGCAGGCGGUUUCUUAAGUCUGAUGUGAAAGCCCCCGGCUCAACCGGGGAGGGUCAUUGGAAACUGGGAAACUUGAGUGCAGAAGAGGAGAGUGGAAUUCCACGUGUAGCGGUGAAAUGCGUAGAGAUGUGGAGGAACACCAGUGGCGAAGGCGACUCUCUGGUCUGUAACUGACGCUGAGGAGCGAAAGCGUGGGGA
RNAcentral lists this ribosomal RNA (727 nucleotides) under Bacillus aerophilus. RNAcentral describes it as "bacterial SSU rRNA". It matches the Rfam family "Bacterial small subunit ribosomal RNA", at positions 56 to 767 of the family's 1533-position model. Lineage: Bacteria; Bacillati; Bacillota; Bacilli; Caryophanales; Bacillaceae. The record is from RNAcentral.